Alosa sapidissima (American shad) is the source of this 169-nucleotide long non-coding RNA. RefSeq lists it as uncharacterized. The record is from RefSeq and is a predicted model, not a curated record. NCBI's taxonomy places the organism in Eukaryota, Metazoa, Chordata, Actinopteri, Clupeiformes, Clupeidae. The transcript has 3 exons.
UGCAUUGCACUUUGCCACGCUCUUUGUGUUGCAAAAUUCAAAUGGCAAUUCGAUCUGCAAUCUGUCAAGUCACUCGUCAAGGCGGGAACUAGGCUACGUCACUUCCGUGUUUACGUCUUACCCAGUUAGCGCUUGUUAAAUUAUGAAACUGAAUAUUGAAAAUUGAAAU